Schizosaccharomyces pombe (fission yeast) is the source of this 889-nucleotide non-coding RNA. The record is from the annotation of a GenBank genome assembly. NCBI's taxonomy places the organism in Eukaryota, Fungi, Ascomycota, Schizosaccharomycetes, Schizosaccharomycetales, Schizosaccharomycetaceae.
CCGCAACCCACAAUGUAAUUGAAAUACUUAAGAUCCGUACUAACAUUGAGCGCAAGACCAUGACUAGUAAUAUUUCGGCGUAAAUGAAUACCAAUUGCUGCAAUUUUAUCGUUUUCUGUUACCCACACACCGGUGUUUUUUGUUGUAUGAGCUUUUUCGAUGCCAAAGCUUUUACAUGUUGCUAUAAUCGCUUGCUCUAGCCUUGACACAUAUUCACGUGGACUUAAUCCAAAGGACUUCAAAUCAAUAAUAGGAUAUGCAAGUAUUUGACCAGGACCAUGAAAUGUAGUUUGCCCACCACGCAAUGCUUUAACAACUUUAGCCUUAGGGAAGCCUUUGGUAAAAUUAAUUGAAGAUUCCCUUCUUCCCAGUGUAUACACUGGACAAACUUGAGAAGUGAUAAUCGUUGGCUUCGGUGGCUGUUCAACCUUAUUUGCUUUAUAAUUUAAAUAAUGUUGAACAAAUCGAUUUUGUAACGCUCCAACCCUCUCAUAGCUCACGAGAGGAUUUUUUUUGGUGAUAAAAGAAAUAUGCUGGAUUUUAUUCAUUCAAUACACUUAACUCUGAUUUAUGCUGAUAAUAAAAAGAAUAUUAUAAAAGAGUGUAAAAAUGUAAAAAGAGGAAAAGAAUCUAUGAAUUCGGCUUAACCGGAGCGAGCAUCUAAAGCCGUAGAGCAGGUGCAAUUAUUUAACGACAGUUGCUAGGAGGAUGGCUUGAAUGUAUACUCUUGCAGGUUUUCUCCAAUUGAUCAAUCUAAAAGAAUCAAAAAAAAUAGAACAUAUUAAAAUUCAGUUUUUACAUUUCUGAGUUAUUAGCUGAAUACAUAAGAAUAUAUCUAAACUGUUUCAAUCACCCGUGUUUAAACGAUUAUAACUUGUAAAAUUUAAAG